UACGUAGGGUGCAAGCGUUGUCCGGAAUUAUUGGGCGUAAAGAGCUCGUAGGCGGACUGUCACGUCUGCUGUGAAAAGCUGGGGCUUAACCCUGGCCUUGCAGUGGAUACGGGCAGACUAGAGGUAGGUAGGGGAGAAUGGAAUUCCCGGUGUAGCGGUGAAAUGCGCAGAUAUCGGGAGGAACACCGGUGGCGAAGGCGGUUCUCUGGGCCUUACCUGACGCUGAGGAGCGAAAGCGUGGGGAGCGAACAGG
RNAcentral lists this ribosomal RNA (253 nucleotides) under uncultured bacterium. RNAcentral's name for it is "partial 16S ribosomal RNA". It matches the Rfam family "Bacterial small subunit ribosomal RNA", at positions 524 to 776 of the family's 1533-position model. The record is from RNAcentral.